RNAcentral lists this transfer RNA (69 nucleotides) under Cryptotis mexicanus (Mexican small-eared shrew). Its description in RNAcentral is "tRNA-Lys". It matches the Rfam family "tRNA". From Rfam's summary of the family: Transfer RNA (tRNA) molecules are approximately 80 nucleotides in length. Their secondary structure includes four short double-helical elements and three loops (D, anti-codon, and T loops). Lineage: Eukaryota; Metazoa; Chordata; Mammalia; Eulipotyphla; Soricidae. The record is from RNAcentral.
CAUCAAGAAGCUAAUUAAGCGUUAACCUUUUAAGUUAAAGAUUGAGAGUCUCCACCCUCUCCUUGAUGA